RNAcentral lists this ribosomal RNA (506 nucleotides) under uncultured bacterium. RNAcentral describes it as "partial 16S ribosomal RNA". It matches the Rfam family "Bacterial small subunit ribosomal RNA", at positions 29 to 523 of the family's 1533-position model. The record is from RNAcentral.
AGUGAACGCUGGCGGCAUGCCUAACACAUGCAAGUCGAACGGCAGUACAGGAGAGCUUGCUCCCUGGGUGGCGAGUGGCGGACGGGUGAGGAAUACAUCGGAAUCUACUCUGUCGUGGGGGACAACGUAGGGAAACUUCUGCUAAUACCGCAUACGCCCUACGGGUGAAAGCAGGGGUCCUUCGCGACUUGCUCUAUCUAAUGUGCCAAUGUCGGCUUAGCGAGUUGGCGGGGUAAAGGCCCACCAAGGCGACGAUCCGUAGCUGGUCUGAGAGGGUGAUCAGCCAGACUGGAACUGGGACACGGGCAAGACGCCUACGGGAGGCAGCAGUGGGGAAUAUUGGACAAUGGGCGCAAGCCUGAUCCAGCCAUAGCGCGUGGGUGAAGAAGGCCUUCGGGUUGUAAAGCCCUUGUGUUGGGAAAGAAAUUCAGCUGGCUAAUACCCGGUUGGGAUGACGGUACCCAAAGAAUAAGCACCGGCUAACUUCGUGCCAGCCGCCGCCGUAA